This 62-nucleotide transfer RNA is filed under the name Scolytus seulensis. RNAcentral's name for it is "tRNA-Gly". Lineage: Eukaryota; Metazoa; Arthropoda; Insecta; Coleoptera; Curculionidae. The record is from RNAcentral.
ACUUAUAUAGUAUAAUCAUUACAUUUGAUCUCCAAUCAAAAAAUCUUAUAAAAGUAUAAGUA